ACGCUCGACACCUACGGGAGGGAGCAGUGGGGAAUAUUGCACAAUGGGGGAAACCCUGAUGCAGCGACGCCGCGUGGAGGAAGAAGGUCUUCGGAUUGUAAACUCCUGUUGUUGGGGAAAAAGAGGAUGGUACCCAACAAGGAAGUGACGGCUAACUACGUGCCAACAGCCGCGGUAAUCUGAGCGGGCUGGCAAGGC
This 198-nucleotide ribosomal RNA is filed under the name uncultured bacterium. RNAcentral's name for it is "partial 16S ribosomal RNA". It matches the Rfam family "Bacterial small subunit ribosomal RNA", at positions 328 to 539 of the family's 1533-position model. The record is from RNAcentral.